This 227-nucleotide long non-coding RNA is filed under the name Phoenix dactylifera (date palm). RNAcentral's name for it is "long non-coding RNA (PDAC_LNC005123)". The record is from RNAcentral. Lineage: Eukaryota; Viridiplantae; Streptophyta; Magnoliopsida; Arecales; Arecaceae.
AUGGCUCUCCGCCGCGAAGAUCGCGGCGGCCGAGCGAGAUCCGCGGCCGCGGUUCGGCCGCGGAUGAGCUGGAGGGGGGGUGCCGCGGGACUAGCGACAUCCCCGCCCCGAUCAUCCCCGAAAGAGCCGGAGAGGAUCGCAAAUCGCGAUCCUCUGUUCCGGCCUUCCAAAAAGAGAACGGGACUGAAGUCGGCAGGGGCUGCCGACUUCAGCCCGUGUCUCACAAU